CUCCAUUUCAUCCUAAUAAACUAGUUCAUAGAGUUUGUUUGACAUCAUGGAUGUCAGGAAUGUUGUGUAGAUAGAUAAAAUUUGCCAUUUCAUGACCACAACACACAAGAAAAGUAAGUUUCCUACAUGUGGAGCUAAUAGACGAGGAGGUAAAUCCAAGUACUCAUUAUAAGGGCAUAUAAACACUACUACCGAUGAGUGUGAAAAUUAUAGAGCAUUUAUCAUCCUCUUCAUCUCAGUUGACCUCCUUGGAUCUGCUUCAUCAAUGGCUCUCUCAGUAAGAACAUGCUUGAUUCGG
RNAcentral lists this long non-coding RNA (298 nucleotides) under Solanum lycopersicum (tomato). Its description in RNAcentral is "partial TCONS_00058299". Lineage: Eukaryota; Viridiplantae; Streptophyta; Magnoliopsida; Solanales; Solanaceae. The record is from RNAcentral.